Molecule: long non-coding RNA, 28089 nt
Filed under: Eucalyptus grandis
Lineage: Eukaryota; Viridiplantae; Streptophyta; Magnoliopsida; Myrtales; Myrtaceae
Description: long non-coding RNA (EGRA_LNC004551)
Source: RNAcentral
UUGGAGCUCUGUCAGUGAAGCUUACACCGGAAGAGAUGGCUGAGCUCGAAUCAAUUGCUUCUGCAGACAAUGUCAAGGGUGGCAGGUACAAUGGAAACCUCUCUCCAUGGGAAAACUCCGACACUCCACCCCUUUCUUCUUGGAAACCUGCCUAGAAACAUGUCUACUUCUGUUGCUGCGUCUUUGAUAUGCAGAGUUUGUGCAUUUGCCGCUGAAGUAAUUUGAGGCUAUGUUGUGUGGCUGUUAUAAGUACGUGUAAUAAGAGAGUGACUGUUUUCGUUUUGUACAUGUGACAUUCACUAUGAGAAGAUUAUGGAUAUGUUCUAAGCUUACUGGGGAAAGAUCACCCGCUAACACGAGAGCAAGUUUUUUAUGAACCGAGCUUGCCGUGCCGACUUUAUCGGGGUGACUUUUAGAAUAUGAGAAAUUGGGAUUUUGAAGAAUUCAAACUCAGUCAUACAUACUAGAGUGAUGCUUUAUUCUCCUCCAACUAGUCUUGGUCCAGUUUCCAGAGAGAUUAGGUCGAUCCUUGGUCCUAGAAUUUCAGGACUAGCACUGUGCGGGUCGAUUCUUAGUCCUAAGAGUUCUAGGUCGGUCCAAUCCAAACCAACCUUAUAUAUAUAUAUAUAUAUUAUUUAUAAUUUUUUUAUAUAGAGAAAACCUUAAAACAAACGGCGUCAAUAACAUUAAAGAGUUAUUUAGUAAAGAGUUCAAGUAAUUUUACAUUGUUCUUUAAUAUUUUAGAUUUUUAAUGUCUUUUACGAUAUUAAUAGUCAUAAUUUACGAAGGAGGAAAUUGUUUUUGUAAGGAGUCCUCAUGAUAUCUAAAAAGGUAUAAAUGGCAUCAUUCUUUAGUAUUCGUUCUCUUUGGUUUUAUUCGUUCUCUUAAUUAUCAAUUUGCCAAAAUUGAAAGAAGCAAUCGCUCACUUUGGGUCACUCCUGCCGCUCGCCGCUUAAUGCUCGCUUGGCUUGUUGCUCCAUGCUCGAUAUUCGAUAUUUAUUCUGUUCGACGCUCACCCCACUUGACUCUCGUUGCUUGCCUUUUUUAGUUGACCUUGCUCAUCAUCGAAUCCAUUAGGUCAAUAUGGUCCUCAGUUGCUUUUUCAAGGAUUACAAAAAAUGAAAUAAAAAAUUAUUAAUUAGUCCUAAGUUGACCUUGAAACCAGACCGAACCCAUUGGGUCCGUUUGAUCUUCAAUCGCUUUUUUAAGGUGUACAAAAAAUGAAAUAAAAAAUUAUUGGUUGGUCCCGGGUUGACCCUAGAACUGGACCGAACCCAUUGGAUCAGUUCGGUCAUUGGUCCUAAGCUUAAUAGGGUUGGUUCUCGGUCCAAAAAACUGAGGACCAGCAUUGUGUGAGUUGGUCAUAGGGUUAGGGGGUGAACCGGCCCAACCUGGACCAUACUCACUCCUACCUCUAACCAUGAGUUCAAUACUAGCACCAUGUGCAACAUACUCUUAGGACUGGAUGCUACACAUAGAUACAACGCUUCGCUUUGUGUUUGGUUUCGUAGCGAAGUAAAGGAACAGUAAAAUGCUAUUGGAUGUUCUCGCGAAAAUGAAGUUUGGGAUAAAAUGUUGGCGCGGUUGAUAUGAGUGUCGAGGAAAUCGAAGGUUUCUUGUUCAAGUUUAACCACCUACGGUUCAUGAGCUUUUAUGUAGCUCAAUACCUUCGCUCAUGCCUCUGCAUUAUUAUAAAACAGUCGGAGAUAUUGCGCAAGUUUCCUAAAAUUAAAAACAACAAUUCUAUUGUUUUUUAUUUGGAGUUAGAGUGGAGCAAUGUCGUUUUGUUUUGAUUUAGGAAAAUAACGCAAAUAGUCAUUGAACUUUGGUCCAAUGUGUUAUGUUCUUAUUGAACUUUUAAUUUAUUUAGUAUGACUGUCGAACUUUUUAUACAUGUUUAAUUUAGAUCCUAGGCUAGAUAAAUCCAACGAUGCUGUGUUUGGUCGUUCGAACAUCUUUGCUGUAUGGGAUAAUGAAUGGAUGAAAAUCCCAUCUAAUAUUUCUUGACGUCUGGAUAUAGCAUGAUUCAAAAUAAAUCUUUUUUUUUUUAAAUGAGUGUUUGAUUUGUAUAAUUAAAAUUAAAAAUAAACCAUGGAAGUCGUGAAUAGUAUUCAUCCUUUCACAAUCUUCAUCGAUAUUAAACACCCCCGUUCCAUGUGACUUCAAGGACGCUCUCUCCUUCUGCAACGCCCCUUUCGCUGCCCUUGAUCAACUUGAUGGAUUACGCUCGCUCUACCUUUGACUUCGCCACAUUGAGAGGCCCUUGGGUUUGAGUUCUCCGCUGGUCUAGCCAUCUUUACUUCGAAUGCCUUUUCCUGCGAUGAAUCCAUCCCCUUCGACGAGUGCGAAUACUGCGUUGAUUCCCUGUUACCGUGCCCCGACUUGUUCAGUCGCUUCAACAGCUUCCCCCGAGACAGCGUGCGGAUCCGGUUUAUGAGUGGUAGCACCAUCGGUGCUACUCGCUCCGAGUGACGUGGUUGAAGAGCUCUAUCACCUUGGCUGCCGCCUCUUUCGGAUCAUCUUCUUCACAGAGAAGAUGUCCAGCUUUGAUCGGGAUCACAAAGUUCCCUACUAAAAUGGAGUUAAGUGACAUAAGAAAGAGGCAGGGCUGACGAGCUCCGACGCCACUUUUCCGAGGCAGCCAAAGGUGGUAAGCAGCUUGUCACUGGUAGGAGGAACGGUGGCCCUUAGACUUUGCUCAGGUCGUUGUGGCGAGGGCUUCUCUAGGUAUCUUCGCGAUACUCAUGCUCUAAGUUUGUGGUGGUCAUUUUAGUGAGAGAAAUUGAAACAAGAGAGAUGAUGCGGCACCGGUCAAAAGUGAGGAUAAGCCAUCAACAAGCGCAGGAGUGGGGGAAAAACUUGUAUCCCUUAUUUUUUUCAAUUUUCCAAAUUUCACAUAUCCUAUUUGGAUCUAUAUCACUUUCUAGAUGAGAUUUUUUAUCCGGACUAUAUCCAAAUUUCACGUUACUCUAAACACCGGAUAUGAUCAAACUUAUCAUAUCAGAGUUUUAUUCGGCCCAUCAAAGACAGACUUAUGAGAUAGAAUGCAAUGAUAUAAUCUAUGAAUUAGAUUAAACAUUUAUUAAAAGUUUAAGAAUAAUAUUUCACAUUUUGAUUGUUAGGAUGCACGAGUGAGUUAUGUUAAAACAAUCCCACAAUAUAUUGAUAGCUUUGUAAUAAGGCUUUCUCUUGGUGAUGACAUAGAUCCAUAUGGAGAAAUUAAUGGGAGGGUUUAUUUGGCCUAACUAAAUGGGAGGCUAUAUCAAUCGGAGCUUUUUCAUUGUAACAUUCCCUUGUGCUUGGUAUUUGUAUUUUAGUAAAAGGAUUUUGCUAGCAUAAUAAUCUUUGGGUUAUCAUGAGAAUAACAAUUUAUUAUGAUUUACAAAAUUUUAAAAUAGUAAACCUCAAUUCAAUUUUAAACUUUUUUUUUUCUAACUAAUUCAAUCCUAAAUAUUUUGCAUUUGUGACAAUUUAGUCUAUUCGGCCAUUUUUCGCCAAGAGGCAUUGAUGUGAACUUUGGCUGAUCGACCAAUGCUGACAUGGACAAUUUUUUUAAUAAUAUUUUAUUUUUCUUAUUUUUUAUUAAUUUUUUCUUUCUUUUUUUCUUCACUUCCUUCUCCUUCCUCCAGCCAGUCGGCAAGAGGCAAGGUUGGUGAGGGACCUUGCUGGCCUUGAGGAAGCUUGGCCAUGGUUGGGCAACCUUGCUCGUGGCUAGGCGACCUCGCCGAGGCCGCCGAUUGGGCUGGCGAGGGUUGACCCUCGUUGGCCAUAGGUCAGGACAAAGGCUGCUAGUUGGGCUUGCCCUUAUUGAAUCUGGUGAGGGUUGAGUCUCAUUGGCCAUGGGCAAGGUCAAAGGCCGCGACCUCUCGUGGUCUCUGGCGAGGCUUGCCAAAGGUUGAGCAAGGCUUACCCUCAUUGGACUGACGAGGGUUGAGCCUCGUCAGCCAAGAGCGAGAUCGUAACUUGCCCAUGGCCGGUGAGGCUCGCCUAGGCCAAAGACAGGCGGGGCCUUGCCUAACCAUGGCAAGGGUGGCCUCACCAUUGUUGGGUGAGGCUAGCCCUUGCCAGUGGCGUGUGGGGGUAAGCCUUGCCAUUGGUUGGCAAGGCUGACUUCACUGGCUUGAAUAAAAUAAAAUAUUAUUAAAAGAUUAUUCACAUCAAUAUUAGCCGAACGAGUGGUGCUCGUCGGCCAAAAUUGGCCGGAUGAAUUGAAUUAGUAUAAUUGCAAAAUGUUUAGGACUGAAUUGGCUAGAAAAAAAAAAGAUUUUAAGACUAAAUUAGAAAAAUUGCAAUAAGUUUAUGAUUGUUUUGGUAAUUUUUUCGUAUAAUAACCCUAGUAAAGAUGACUCACUUAAUUUGAGCGUCAAUAAAUCAAAGGUCACUUGUUUAGUUCUCACAACUUAUUUGUAAAUCACUUUAGAAGUGCAAAUCCAAUCAAUUUAUGAGCUUGCAAAAUGAGUCUCUAGAUAAACCAACUUUUGUAUUCGUGCUUCAGGAUUAUAAUAAAAUAUUAGAGGUUUUCAUCAGUGUAUCAUGAUAGGCUAGAUAGGGCGUUUUCUUUUGCACUUGUCAUACAUGAUCAUUUUGUAUCCUUUGAACUCAUGUUAUUUGUUGGUACUAGGUUGAGUGGUAAUAUGAUCUCCUACCUUAUACUUAGAUAUUUCAUUUAUUAGGCUUCGCCUCACUCCUUUUUUUCUUUUUUUUUCUUUUUUGUUGUAGGAUGAUUCCCCUAAAGAUGGUGACGGAGGGGCCGAGUUGAUAUCGGAAGCCAUUAAUCCUUGAGUUGGAUGGUAGUUUAGUUAGUAUGGAUGUAAUGGUAUUAGGUGACCCCGAUCUUUCCUAGGACUAUAAAAUUUUUUGUGAUAAUUACUAUCGAUAUUGUAUAAAGCCAAAGACACUUUUUUUUUUAAUAAACUCAUGCAUUUUUCUAGUAAAGGAUGUUGUGAAAACUUUAUUGUCUUUUCCAUGCGUAAUUAUAACUAUGAGUAUAAAUGGAAAUGACAUGUGCCGCAUGUGAUGUUCCAAGGCGUCACAUAAUCCCCAACACUCAAAUUAGGGUCCAUUAAGGCAGUGCUUAAAACUAUGAUGCUCAAGUUCUAUUCGGCAGCACUUAGGCUCGGGUCCAACAAGAUCGUGUGUCAGUCCUCAAUGCUCGGGCUCGGCUCGUUAGUUAAUAAAAUGUUGUUCUUAUAAAAAUAAUUCUUUUUAUUUUCAUUUUAUAUUCAUUUGUUUUCUUUCUUUUUCUUUCUCCUUCUUCUUGGCUGGUUGCCGACCAUGAUGACGAUUGCGCCUGAGAACAAGCGAGAGAUGAGCUAGCCCAAGGCCAAGAAGACUUGAGAUUGCUGAUUUGGCAAGCUUGAAGUUGGUUGAUCAAGUGACGCUAAAGCUCCCUAGCGUUGGGCAACCUCGAGUUUCACCUCAUGGCUAGUCGCCAACUACCACCGUGGCGAGCGAUCGGUUGAGGAAGAAGAAAAAUAAAAAUAAAAUUAAAAGAGAAAAUAACUAAAAAUCUGAAUAUUUUGGCAUUUUCUAUAGGGAAAUCAAAUCGAAAAAAUAUUUUCUAGUUUAUCUUUAGGACUUAACCAAAUAUUGGAAAUAUUAUUCAGAUAUGUCAUAUUUUUUGCGAAACAAACGGUGCGUAAAUAUUUAGAUUUGAUAAUUGUCCAUGUUAAUUAGGUACACAUUAUCUCACUCUUUGUUUCGUUGCCGAACUGAUGCUAAUCUCUAGACGAAGCUUGACUAGUCUCAACUCAAUAGGCGGCUUGACUUUUGCGCUUCCUUUUCUUCUUUUCUUUUUUCUUUUUAACUCAAAACACUCAAAACUUUCCUGGUACACGACUGUCGUCGUGUUACAAUCACUUUCAAUAAUGAUGGCCAUCCGAGCAAGAUGAGGGCGACUGGUCCCCCUAGAAAUUGUCAUGACGUUUGACUUUCAUGAAUUGAAAUGACUUUUCUCUGUCAAGGAGAAAAAUAGUUAACUAGUCAAGAUCGUGCCACAUCUCUCCAUCCAUGUCCUCCACAUCCGGCCCCACCAAUCGGACUCCCCGACAAAAAAAAUCGAGGACACGUGGCUGGAUCUAGAAAGUCACAGGUUCGACUUGUCUACUGUUAUCACUGUCCUUUUGCAAUAAUUUUUUUACACCCGUCUAGCUGUUGUGAGCUCCUCUGACAUACUAAUUGUGUGGAUAUGGUGAACUUGGGACCUUCUAUAAUCUGUCCAUAUUAAAAAUUUAAAAUGGACAAAUUCCGCCUCUCAUUGUGGAAUUCCACCCACAUUUCUCGCAAACUUUCAAACAUUAGUUCCAGGUCGUGCAUUCCAAUUGAGCCUUGUCUGGUCAAAUAUCAAAGUACUCUAGAGAAAAAUUUUAAAAAAAAUUGUAAAAAAGAGAGAGAAGGAAAACGAUUCAGCCUUAUAAUAACUUGCUAGGAACCACGUAGUUAAUUAGAGCAUCAAGAAAUUAGAGGUAGCUUGUGUAGUUCUCGCAAGUUACUUGUAAAUUGCUUUAGAAGUACAAACUUAAUUGAUUUAUGAGCUUGCACCAUAUUUUAUGAGUUUCUGAAUAACCAACUUUUGUAUUCAUGCAACUCACUCCGCUGUGACUGAGUUGGUUCGGACGUUCCCUCCUCUUCCAAUUGGGGGGAGGUUUGAGUCACCACGAUUGCAUUUGCGCAACUUAAGUGCGGCGCCAUGAGAGGUGGGUCCCCGUGCUAGCGUCACCGUGGGUUUACGUCGCCAGCUGCCGGUUGUACGGCGAUUCUCAAGUCAUAAAAAAAAAAGAAAAAAGAAAAUUUGUAUUCAUGCUUGUAGAUUAUAAUAAAAUAAUUGGUUGUGGUGGGCAAUUGAGAGUGACACCGUUUUCGCCUUUUAUUUUUUGUAAUAUGUGAAGUGUUGUUCUGUUUUUUGUUUUCGUCACCCUCCCACUUGUGCUAUAUUUGUUAGGUCUCCUCGCCAGGAGUUCGUCACUUUAUGUUAUUGACCUCUUAAUUAAAUACAACAAUACCUUCAAGGACUGCUCUUCAUAAAGGCGCGGAUUGGACGGCCGGUGACCGAGAUAGCAGCCUCCGCCCCUCCCUCGGUCUUGCCCUUUGCAUAACUUUUAGAAAACAUGCGUGAUUAGAGGAUCAAUAGUGACUUAAUUCUAACCCGUAUCGAUGUUACCCGUUUAGCAUCUCUUAGUAAAUGUAAAUAUUGUACGCGGAUGACAGCAUUUUGAAGAAUUUACAAUUGGUGUUCUUUUAUUAAAUAUGGUUGAUAUCAUGAAAAAUCUUAGAUUGAUACAUUUGCGACAAACUUAUCCCAAACUAUUUUUUUUACACAAAAACCGUAAACUAGUAUAUUUGUAAUUUUACCUAAAACUAUUUUUUUUUAUCGUCAAAAACCUCAAACUGAUAUAUUUGUAGCAAAAUUACUCUUUACUAACUAGUGUUAAAUUAUACUAAUAUGAAUUGGUACAUCUAUGACAAACGAAGGGUAAAAUCCUAAAUUGGUACACUCAUUAACUAUCAUAUGUCAUUUAACUCAGUAAUUUAAUAGUACAAUUUAAGGGAAAUUAACGGAGGGUCAAUUUGUCAUAGGUGUAUCGGUAUGAGAUUUUUGAUAGCAAAUGUAGGAGUUUUACAUGGUAUUAAACUCUAUUGCAUAUGAUCAAAAGUCCUAGUUUCUACUAUUUUUGUCGACACAAUACCUUAAAAAACCUCAAACUUAAGCUCUGAUCCUAAUUCUAUCUUUUGUGUUAUAAGACCUCCAACUUUAGAUCAUGUCCCAAUUCCACCCUAACAUACAUAUUUUAGAAAACCCCAUAUUUUAGUUAUAGUCCCAAUCUUAUCUAAACAUCUGUUAUCUCAUAAAAUCCCUCAAAUUUAGGUCAAGUACCAAUUCCAACCUAAACGUUAUUUUGUCUUAUAAAAAGAAUCCUAGCUUUAGGUCCAAUUUCAUUUUCACUUUUUUUUUUUAUCUCAUAAAAGAUUACCAACUUUUACUUGAGUCCCAAAUCCACUCUCCAUUAACCCUCCAUCAAAAUUGCCCUUAGUGAUUUUGUGCUCGGUUUUUGAUCUCGCGUGCUUGGAAAUAUUUCAUUUCUCUUGAACAACUUGUGCUUGAGGGUUUUCCAUCUCUCGAUGUCAGCAGGAAAUUUUGCACGAAGGGUUAAUGGUGGCAAAUAUGCGACUCAAGUAAAAAUUUAUAGUUUUUUCAUCAGACUAUAAAAAUUUUACGGUAAUAUUGAGAGUGGAUAGGCUUUUCAUAAGACAAGAAAAGGUUUAAGGUAGAAUUAGUAUAUUAUUUAAAAUUGAAUUGUGAAUGGCUAUAAAAUUAGUGAUUUUUUUUAUGAGAUAAAAGGUAAAAUUAGGAGAAAAGCUAAAGUUAGAGAGUUUUUUUUAGGGUAUCAAACCUAUUUUUGUCAAUCAUAUGAUGUCAACAUUAUCUUUGUUUUUGUUUUUCUUUCAAUUGUCCAUUUGGUCGGUUCUUUUCUAUUCUUAUUCUCAAACUUUUGCCUUGACUCAUUACAAGUGUGAGAAUUGAAACCACAUUUGAUACUAUAUUGUCCCCCGGUAGGCAUUCAAAACCCCCAUCUCCCGCUUCUCAUGUAAGUUAUGAAUGGAGCCUUCGUGUCGUGUCCGACACGCUCGAAGAUGCGGUCAAUACGUGUUCGAAAUCCGACACGUGAACAAUUCUUAUUGACACAUUCUAACACACAAGUCCGAGAGAGAGGAUCGUUGAAGAAAACAAUGGCAAGGGAGCGAAGGCAACGGCAAGGCCACGACGGUGAGAGAGGGCUAGAGGAAGAGUAGAGACCGAGAUGACCUAAAGAGAGGAUCGUGACUGCAAUGGAGGGCCGGUGGCGAGACUGCACCUAUGUAGGAGGAAGGGUUGGAGGUGAGGCGGCAAGCGAUUAUGACAAGGCAAUCAAGAGAGAGAAGAGAUUGAGAGGUGGAUGGUCGUGCGAGGAGGAGGGGAAGGCCAGGGCUAGGGUUUUUGAAGGGGGAAAAUCAAAAAAUUAAAAACAUGAUUUUGAUGGGACAUUAGGGUUGUGCAAGGAGGAGGGGAAGGCCAGGGCUAGGGUUUUUGAAGGGGAAAACUCAAAAAAAUUAAAAACAUGAUUUUGAUGGGACAUUGCUGUGAUUUCUCCUUUAUGGAGAGGGGGAGCGUGUCGGGAGGUGGAGGGGGAGGGCAGAUAAAUGAGGGAAAGAUGAGUGAAAUAAGUUUGUUGGGGGCACAAAAGGAGGGGUUGGUAGGACCUGAGCAAGUCCUUAGACUGCUCCGUCUGGUCGGAAAUAGCCCACGGACGUAAAAUGUGGGCAAUGUUAAUCGUGGGAGAUCAGACCACCCUGUGUAAGGAUCUCCUGGCUCAGAUUCCCGCGAUGCCUUUCUCCUAACAUAUUAGGCUGGGUACAGGAAAAUGAUGAGUGAAAUAAGUUUGUUGGGGGGGGGGGGCACAAAAGGAGGGGUUGGUAAGGGUUGGCAUGGACCCCAUGGAUUUUUAUUUUUUUUUAAUCAAAAAAAUAAAUAAGGAAGGCCAGAAAGUGGGGGAAGAAACUAUGGAAAGAGAGUGAAGUAAAUGUGGGGGUGAGGGUUGGGGUGGACCACGGGGGUCUUUUCUUAUCAGAAAAAUAAAUAAGAAAAACUAUAAGGUGAUUUCGGAAAAUGAAAGUGUUGAAUGUUGAAUAAUAAUAAAAUUUGAUAAUUGUAAAAGAUUAUAGAUUUAUUUAAAUAAGUUAAUUCUAAUUUUUCUUAAUCAUUAGUUUUAUCAAUAAUUUUUGUUAGAGUUAGAAAUAUGUUCGUAUGGAUGCUAUAUGGCAUAUGGAAAGGGUGGCCUCACUUCUGGCGUUUCAUGUAUGGAAAGAGUGAUUAUUAAUGGCGCAUUUGGUAACGUUUUUGUUUCGGAGGACAAUUUUUGAAUAGAAAUAGUUUUUUUUUUUGUUCUAGGGAAUAAUUUUUGAGUAUAAGAAUGUGUUUGGUAACUGCAAACAAUUUCUACUCUAAAAAUAGAAACGCGCUUGGUAAACUUGUAUAAUUUCUUUGUUUCUUUUAAUUUUUUAAUAUUUUUAAUAUUUUUUUUCUUUUUUUCUUUUUUCUUUUUCUCUUUGGUCGGUUGCUGGCUAUGGCGAUGUCCGUUGAGCCUUGUCCAGGCAACGCGAGGUUCGCCUCGUGCCGAUUGGGGAGGUCAAGGCCUCUUGGCUUUGUCUGGGCUAAGCGAGGUUGACCUUGCCCAGCCACCGGCGAGACUCGGCCUCGCUGGGCCACCGCUAGGCGACUCUGUCCUGGAGGUGGCUCGGCGAGGUCGAGCCUCAUGCGGCCAUGGCGAGGCUCGGCCUCUCUGGGGGCUAGCGACACUCCGGCGAGGUCGUCGGCUCUCGUCUAGCCAGUUGCCGGUGUCAACUAUGGCUAAGGCUGAUGACNNNNNNNNNNNNNNNNNNNNNNNNNNNNNNNNNNNNNNNNNNNNNNNNNNNNNNNNNNNNNNNNNNNNNNNNNNNNNNNNNNNNNNNNNNNNNNNNNNNNCGUCUGGUCGAAAACAGCCCAUGGACGUAAAAUGUGGGCAAUGUUAAUCGCGGGAGAUCGGACCACCCUGUGUAAGGAUCUCUCGGUUCAGAUUCCCGCGAUGCCCUUCUCCUAACGUAUUAGACUGGGUACAGGAAAAUGACGAGUGAAAUAAGUUUGCUGGGGGCACAAAAGGAGGGGUUGGUAAGGGUUGGCAUGGACCCCAUGGACUUUUAUUUUUUUAUCAGAAAAAUAAAUAAGGAAGGCUAGAAAGUGGGGGAAGAAACUAUGGAAAGAGAGUGAAGUAAAUGUGGGGGUGAGGGUUGGGGUGGACCACGGGGGUCUUUUCUUAUCAGAAAAAUAAAUAAGAAAAACUAUAAGGUGAUUUCGGAAAAUGAAAGUGUUGAAUGUUGAAUAAUAAUAAAAUUUGAUAAUUGUAAAAGAUUAUAGAUUUAUUUAAAUAAGUUAAUUCUAAUUUUUCUUAAUCAUUAGUUUUAUCAAUAAUUUUUGUUAGAGUUAGAAAUAUGUUCGUAUGGAUGCUAUAUGGCAUAUGGAAAGGGUGGCCUCACUUCUGGCGUUUCAUGUAUGGAAAGAGUGAUUAUUAAUGGCGCAUUUGGUAACGUUUUUGUUUCGGAGGACAAUUUUUGAAUAGAAAUAGUUUUUUUUUUUGUUCUAGGGAAUAAUUUUUGAGUAUAAGAAUGUGUUUGGUAACUGCAAACAAUUUCUACUCUAAAAAUAGAAACGCGCUUGGUAAACUUGUAUAAUUUCUUUGUUUCUUUUAAUUUUUUAAUAUUUUUAAUAUUUUUUUUCUUUUUUUCUUUUUUCUUUUUCUCUUUGGUCGGUUGCUGGCUAUGGCGAUGUCCGUUGAGCCUUGUCCAGGCAACGCGAGGUUCGCCUCGUGCCGAUUGGGGAGGUCAAGGCCUCUUGGCUUUGUCUGGGCUAAGCGAGGUUGACCUUGCCCAGCCACCGGCGAGACUCGGCCUCGCUGGGCCACCGCUAGGCGACUCUGUCCUGGAGGUGGCUCGGCGAGGUCGAGCCUCAUGCGGCCAUGGCGAGGCUCGGCCUCUCUGGGGGCUAGCGACACUCCGGCGAGGUCGUCGGCUCUCGUCUAGCCAGUUGCCGGUGUCAACUAUGGCUAAGGCUGAUGACUGGCAAAAGGAAGAAGAAGAAGAAGAAGAAGAAGAAAAGAAAGAGAAAAUAGAAGAAGAAAAAUGAUAAGAAAAAAAAGUGUUUUUCGAAAGUGUUCUCGAGAAUAAGAAAUAAGUUUUUUUUUUUAAUUUCUUAUUUUUGUUCCAAAGUUGCUCUCACAAUAAAAAAAAAAGACCAGAAUAAAAGUAUAAACAAAUGAGUUUCUAUUCUUUUUUGGUUCUCUGGAACAAAAUAAUAAAAAUUUAUAUUCCAGGAAAAAAAAAUAAUUUUAAACGAACACACCCUAAGAUAUCUUUUGUAUUCCGGGGAAGUAGUUCAAUUGACGUGAGCCCGUGCGUCUUCCCUACAUGGGAAGGGUCGUCACUGGGUCUCAUCUGACCUAAGCAAGUGCGUCUUCACAGCUUUUACCGCUCCCCUCCUACACUUCGUAGCUACCGCCACUCCCCUCCUAUAAAUCUCGGCUCGCCCGACGCCUUCGCCAUCGUCUCGGUGCAGUGCAGGGAACGAGCGAGCUCGAGCUAGACGACGGCAAUGGCGGCUUCGACGACGACGGUGAGGAGGAUCAAGCUGGGGUCGCAGGGCCUCGAGGUGUCGGUGCAGGGGCUGGGCUGCAUGGGCAUGUCCGCCUUCUACGGCCCUCCCAAGUCCGACACCGACAUGAUCGCCCUGAUCCACCACGCCGUUGGCUCCGGCGUCACCUUCCUCGACACCUCCGACAUCUACGGCCCCCACACCAACGAAACCCUCCUCGGAAAGGUCGGUUCUCUCUCAGUCUCUGUUUUGCCUCCGCAUGAAUUAUAUGUGCUUAUAGUGUUACGGAAUUUAGCUUCAUCGAGCAGAGUGCUCUGAUCCUGCGCCUUGGUUUUCUGAUUUCGGGGUUGAUUUUGAGCAGGCACUGAAGGGAGGGGUGAGGCAGAAGGUGGAAUUGGCGACCAAGUUCGGAAUCAGCUUCGCGGACGGGAAGAGGGAGGUCCGGGGCGAUCCGGCGUACGUGAGGGCGGCUUGCGAGGCCAGCUUGAAGCGGCUUGACAUCGAUUGCAUCGACCUCUACUACCAACAUCGCAUCGACACUCGCGUCCCCAUCGAAGUCACUGUAUGGAUCCCCCAUCAAACUUUCACCUCGCUUGAGACUUUCUCCGAGCCAUAUGAUUAGUUGCUAAGUUAGAUUGGUGUUGAUGAUGCAUCGUCAUGUUGUUACAAGUUUGUUGAAAUUUGUUAAAUGACACUUAAGUUCGGCUGAUAGCAGAGUUCAAGAUGCGGCACGUUGUUGUUCAAGGGGUUGUGGAAUUUAGUAGUUUAGUGGCUUGAGUUUUCGUUUUGUGGGCAUCUUUUACAAGUUAAGGGUCAACAAGCAUGAAAAUUAUUCAAAAUCUUCCUUUGAGAUGAAAGUGCUCCAGGGUUCAUCCAGAAUUUAUAUACGGGAAUCACAUAUAAAGUUGUUCCUGGACUUUAUGUGGAGACAUUUGAUUCUUGACAUAUUGUGAAAUAUGACAAGUACUUGGAAUACUUCUUUUAUUUGCUCUCUUCUGUGAGAGAUUCAAGAAAUCAACCUCCGUUAACUCAAUACCUUGUGACUUUUUUGUCGCAUUGAGAUGCAUGAUAAUAGAGGGAUCUAGACGCAUAAAAAGCUAAUGACAUGCAUAAUUUUCUGGAUCUUAACAUGUAAGAUCUUGAUGUUGUUGUUCUGUCAUGUGAAUAUGCACAGAUCGGAGAGCUAAAGAAGCUCGUUGAAGAAGGUAAGAUAAAGUACAUCGGUUUAUCCGAGGCCUCUGCAUCAACAAUCAGAAGAGCACAUGCUGUUCAUCCCAUCACAGCAGUGCAAUUGGAGUGGUCGCUUUGGUCAAGAGAUGUGGAGGCAGAGAUCGUUCCAACGUGCAGGUAGGAUAUCACUCUGUUAAUUGUUUAUGCAGCAACAACAGCUUCCUUCUGACUCUGCUUUUCCUUUAAAAUGCUGACUAGGGAGCUUGGCAUUGGAAUUGUUGCCUACAGUCCUUUAGGACGAGGAUUCUUUUCUGUUGGCUCCAAGUUGGUGGAGAAUAUCUCUAAGGAUGACUUCAGACAGGUCUGUUCCUGCUUGUCAACAUAAUUAGAUGUUUACAUUGACUGUCAUUCUUAUUGAAGUGCUGGAAACCUGUUCUUGUGGUAUAAAGAAAAAGUAUCUGGAUGGGAUGAAUAAAACUUGGUGACACGAAUGCUUCGUGUUCUUAUAUGUCUUUAAUCCAGCACUUGCCAGACAUCCCACCUCUCUUGAUUCUAGAUAAAUGUAAAAUCACAAGUAACGGCUUUAAUGAGCCUGAAAGAGGCAGUUUCCUGGAUUCUCGUGCUUUUGGGAAUGAAUACAUAUAGGUUUAUAUGUAAGUUGCUCUGUUUCCCAGCCUUCCCAACAUUUGCUUAUCACUAUCCUUUCCCCACUUUCCACCCACCCUUUUUCUCUCAUCUUUCUUCACAAGAAUAGCGAUAUUUCCUCGAAAUAACUGACGCCAGUAUCGGGCUUUGGCCCUCCGUCCUUUUUCAUUCUCAUCUUUCUUCACAAGAUAAACUAUAUCUUGACACAACCAUUUCUUGAGCGCGGACUCCCGACACCCUUCUUAUGAGAGUUUUGGAUCAAGUUCCCAUCUGACAUAAAGCCAAUUGUGUAUUACUCCCCGCCAUUAGCGUUUGACUAGCGAUAGUGCUGGGCAAGUGAAGUAGCUAUUUUUCUUUGUAGCUAAAAGAGCUCUGCGUCUGAUAACAUUCUUCUACUCAUCAUCUACAUUUCUGAUUUUUUAUUUUAUGUGACUAAUGGUAUCAUCACACGUACAAAACUUAGAUUGUCGAGUUUGUUUCUGUUUUCACAUCCUACAUCAAGCCCAUCAGCCUUGUGUGGUAGUUGCUAGAUCACUUCGCUUGACGUUUCUAAUGCUUAUGAUUUGGGACAUGAUAUUUUAAUCAUUUCAAGAUAAUUUAUAACUGAUCAUGCUUUUUCAGAUACACAACGAUUGCACACUUCUAAAUGCUUAUUAUGUCAAGUAACAAGACAAUCCGAUGGCAUGCAAUGCAACCACUUUUGCACUUGUUGCUGUAGAAUUUAGCCUUAAGAGGAAAAUGAUAAUUUCUCAUAUGCUCUCUGCUGAGACAUUGCUCUAUGUUAUGCAGUAUCUACCAAGGUUCCGGCCAGAGAACUUGGCUCACAACACGAAGUUAUUUGACCGAGUGAAUGAAAUUGCGCAAAGAAAGGGAUGCACCACAUCGCAGUUAGCCCUGGCCUGGGUACACCACCAGGGUGACGACAUUUGCCCGAUUCCCGGCACAACCAAGAUCGAGAAUUUCAACCAGAACAUUGGAGCUCUGUCAGUGAAGCUUACACCGGAAGAGAUGGCCGAGCUUGAAUCGAUUGCUUCUGCGGACAAUGUCAAGGGUGGCAGGUACGAUGGAAGCAUGUCUACAUGGGAAAACUCCGACACUCCACCCCUUUCUUCUUGGAAACCUGCCUAGAAGCGUGUCUGCUUCUGUUGCUGCAUCUUUGAUGUGCAGAGGUUGAGCAUUUGCCGCUGAAGUAAUUUGAGUUUAUGUUGUGUGGCUGUUAUAAGUAUGUGUAAUAAGAGAGUGACUGUUUUCAUUUUGUACAUGUGACAUUCACUAUGAUAAGAUUAUGGAUGUGUACUAACCUUACUGGGGAAAGAUCACUCGAUAAACACGAGAGCGAGUUGAAUACGAACUGAGCCUGCCGUGUCGACUUUAUUGGGGUGACUUUUAGAAUCUGAGAAAUCGGGAUUUUGAAGAAUUCAAACUCAGUCGUACAUACUAGAGUGGUAUUCUCCACCAACCAUGAGUUCAAUCUCUUAAGACUGGAUGCUGCACAUAGAUGCAAAGCUUCGCUUUGUGUUUGGUUUGGUAGCGAAGUUAAGGAACAGUAAAAUGUUACCGGAUGUUCUCGCGAAAACGAAGUUGGGGAUAAAAUGCUGGCGCGGAUGAUAUGAGCGUCGGGGAAAUCGAGGGUUUCUUGUUCAAGUUUCACCACCUACGGUUCAUGAGCUUUUAUGUAGCUCGAUACCUUCGCUCAAUGCCUCUGCAUUAUUAUAAAACAGUCGGAGAUAUUGCGCAAGUUUCCUAAAAUUAAAAACGACACUUCUAUUGUUUUUUAUUUGGAGUUAGAGUGGUGCAAUGUUGUUUUGUUUUGGUUUAGGAAAAUAACGCAAAUAGUCACUACACUUUGGUCCAAUGUGUUAUGUUCUUACUGAAUUUUUAACUUGUUUAAUAUGGUUGUCGAGCUUUUUGUAUAUGUUUAAUUUAAAUCCUAGGCUAGAUAAAUCCAAUGAUGCCGUGUUUGGUCGGUUCGAAGAUCGUUGCUAUAUGGGAUAAUGAUAGGAUAAAAAUCCCAUCUAAUAUUUCUUGACGUCUGGAUAUAACAUGAUUCAAAUAAUUUUUUUUUUAAACGAGUGUUUGAUUUGUAUAAUUAAAAUUAAAAAUAAACCAUGGAAGUCGUGAAUACUAUUCAUCCUUUCACAAUCUUCAUCCAUAUCAAGCACCCCCGUUCCAUGUGACUUCAAGGACGCUCGCUCCUUCUGCAACACCCCUUUCGCUGCCCUUGAUCAACUUGAUGGAUUACGCUCGCUCUGCCUUUUGACUUCGCCACAUUGAGAGGCCCUUGGGUUUGAGUUCUCCGCUGGUCUAGCCAUCUUUAUUUUCAACGCCUUUUCCUGCGAUGAAUCCAUCCCCCUCGACGAGUGUGAAUGCCGCGUUGAUUCCCUGUUACCGUGCUCCGACUUGUUCAGUCGCUUCAACAGCUUCCCCCGAGACAGCGUGCGGAUCCGGUUUAUGAGUGGUAGCAGCAUCGGUACUACUCGCUCCGAGUGACGUGGUUGAGGAGCUCUAUCACCUUGGCUGCCGCCUCUUUCGGAUCAUCUUCUUCACAGAGGAGGUGUCCAGCUUUGAUCGGGAUCACAAAUUUCCCUACUAAAAUGAAGUUGAGUGACACAAGAAAGAGGCAGGGCUGACGAGCUCCGCGAUACUCAUGCUCAUGCUCUAAUUUUGUGGUGGUCAUUUUAGCGAGACAAAUUGGAACAAGAGAGAGAUGAUGGUGGCACUGGUCAAAAGCGAGGAUAAGCUAUAAAAAGCGCCCCGCCGCCCGGGGGGGGGGGGGGGGGGGGGGGGGGGGUCAGUUUUUCAAAUUUCACAUAUUUUAUCUGGAUUUAUAUCACUUUCUAGAUGUGAUUUUUUAUCCGUGCUAUAUCCUAAUUUCACAUUACUCUAGACACCAUAUAGGAUUAAACUUAUCAUAUUAGAGUUUUAUCCAGCCCUUCAAAUGCAGUCUUAUGAGAUAGAAUGCAAUGAUAUAAUCUGUGAACUAAAUUUAAACAUUUAUUAAAAGUUUACGAACGGAAUUUCACAUUUUGAUUGUUAAGAUGCAUGAGUGAGUUAUGUUAAAAUAAUCACACAAUAUAUUGAUAGCUUUAAAAAUGGGCUUUCUCUUGGUGAUGACGUUGAUCCAUAUAGAGAAAUUAAUGAGAGGGUUUAUUUGGCCUAACUAAAUGGGAGGCUAUAUCAAUGGGAGGUUUUUCAUUGUAACAUUCCCUUGUGCUUGGAAUUUGUUUUUUAGUAAAGGAUUUUAUUAGCGUAAUAAUAGUCUUUGGGUUAUUAUGUGAAUAACAAUUUAUUGUGAGUCACAAAUUUUUUAAAGUAAUGAACCCCAUAAUAAUUUCAAUUAUUUGUUACUUGAUUUUUUGUAGUUUAGAAUAAAAAUUAUCACCAAGUUAUUUCUUUUUAACAAAUAUAUUGCUCUAACUGUUGUUUUCAAUUAAGUUUGCAUCGGAGAAGAGAUUAUUUUGUUUUGCUACGCUUGUCGGAUAUUGCACAGGAUAUUGUCAUUUUCUUAGCACUAGCAACGUUGCGUUCAGACAAGGCGGCAUGGAAUUAUUUGCUCAGCUGCACAUCACACGACCAUACAUUCAUGGACUGUUCCUCAGGAAAGCAUAUAGACAUGUGGCAGAUGCAGAACAUUUCACGAGAUUAAAAAAAAGAAAAUAAUUUUUAAAAAACAAUACUUUCGACUUCAAAACGUGCCAAUCGAACGCCUGCUACUCCCGCCUAUAAAGCUCGGCUCACCCAACGGCUUCGUUGUCGUCUCGAACUGUCCAUUCUCCAUUCUCUGUUCUUGCAUCGACCUCGAGCUAGACGAUGGUGGCAAUGGCGUCGUCAGACGGUGAGGAGGAUCAAGUUGGGGUCGUAGGGUCUCAAGGUCUCGGCGCAGGGGCUGGGCUUGCAUGGGCAUGUUGGAAGAUAUGCGGAUUGCCUGAUUUGAUUUGAUCUUAAUUGAUCAUGAUUAAUCACGAUCUUCAUGUAUAUGUAAAUUAAAAAUUAGAUCUAGAUCUCGAUUGAUAAUCCAGAUCAUUUACUUCCUUAUUCAAGAUAGAGCUUGUAUUAUAUCUCUGCAAAAUUGUACAUUCAGAUUGUAAUAGUGAUAAUACAGAAAAAUCUCCCCACAUCGAUUCCCAUUUUCCUCUCCAAACUUCAUCCGUUCUUCCUUCACUCUUGCCUUCUUUCAUGGUAUCAGAGCAGCUUUGAUCUCUGACUCGCUUCCGUUCCAAACCACUGCUGAAGAAAAUUCUCAACCUGCAAAAGGGUUGAUCUUUCGGCAUUAGGCAUACUCUCGAAGGAAGAAAUUUAAAUUAUCUUACUAUGGCCUCUCCGCAGGACUCCAGUCUGGCUGCUGACGACAGGACCACCGAAGAAAGUAGUCCUCAAGCUCCACAGAUCCAGAAUCUCCCUGCAGUAAUACCAGUAUCCACCCAACCCCAGCAGUGGCGGCCCACGCAGGCUCAGUUUCAAUUGGGGCAACCCACGACGGGUCAACCAUACUAGUGGAUCCCCUAUCCACUCUAUUUUGGGCCAAGCCCAAAUUUCUCAUCGCCUUUUUUCGUGGGCCACCAGAAUCACAAUGGAGGCCCGCCAGCCACGAAUGGGGCAAGCCCAUCCAUCGCGAGAGAGCAGACGGGCGGUUCAAGCGAAUCGGGUACGGGGCAUAAUCCCUACCCGGGACAUGUCAAUGCGGGGUAUCUAGUUGGAUUGAGCGAAUCGGGUCAAGGGACGAAUCCCUACCCGAAUUUCGCACCGGGUUUUCUGUCCAUUCCAGCGGCGGCGUUCACUGGGCGACUAGAAAUAGGCGAUCCUCUGUUUGUCUCCACCGCUGACGGAUCGGAGCUUUGACUGAUAAACCAGCAACUAACCGGACUAGAGACCUAUUCGAAGUGGUCACAGGAGCUCCGGCGGGCAUUGGUGACAAAAGACAAAGACGGAUUUCUCGAUGGGACAAUUUCCAUCCCCUCCGAUGAACGCCUAGCCGGACACUGGCGGAAAUGCAAUCAACUCGUCCGAAUGUGGAUCAGAAAUUGCAUAUCCCCAGAAGUCAUGGCUGGGCUUCCACCCACAGAGGAUGCCAAAACCAUGUGGGAAAACAUUCGAGAAAUAUACGGUAAAAUGGAUCAAGCAAAAGUUUUUAAUCUUAUGCAGGAAAUUAGCGAACUCAAACAGGGAAAUUCGACGGUCACGGCCUGCUUCAACAGGCUAUCGUCCCUCCUGAAUCAACUCGAAGCAGUAGAAGAAAAGCUCGAAGGGCCAGAAUCUACCCUCAAGCAGUACAAACAAAUCAAAGAGAGAGAAAAAGCCACGCGAUUCUUGCUGAUUUUAAACGAAUCGUACCUCACGUUUCGGUCACAGAUCCUUGUCAUGGAUCCCAUGCCACCGAUCGGACGUAUUUACAAACUGGCGAUGCAGGAGGAGAGUCAGCGACUCACAAUCACGAACAACGGUGAGAGCAUCGCUCUGGCUGCCCGCGGAGAGGGGAGAACCCUAACCCUAGCUCGUGAAAAUGAAAAGAAAAGCCCUUUAGGGUUCGACGAGCUCGAUUCGCGCGGGCUUAAAAGGGAUGGGAUGAACGGCCAGGAUUACAUGCAAGGAUCGAGCGGCUUAGAUUACUCCCGAAAAUAUGACGGCCCAGAUUACGCAUGGAGAUCCGACGGUCGUCAAGGAAUCGAAAUUGCGCCUGGAUUGGACGGUGGACAGCAGAUCGCGAUCAAAGGAACGGACGGCCAGAUCUUCACCACGUCAUCAAAGAAUUUCGCAAAUUUUUUUAAAGGAAAGGGGUAAAUUUUUUUGCGAUUAUUGCAAACGUACUAAUCAUACCAUUGACAGUUGCUGGAAAUUACACGGGAAGCCGGGAGAAAAGGAGAAAAAAAUUUCCACAGCUUAUCAAGUCACUGGACCAGCUGGUCCAAAAAUUGACCAGCCAAUCUCAUAUGGUCAAUAUCAGCAACUCAUGCAAAAACUACAGAAGAUGGAAAUUUCCAACAAAGGGGGCAAUUUCUCAGGUAUUUCACAUUGCCUAAUUAAUUCCAUUUCCAGGAAGGCGUGGAUUAUAAUUCUGGGGCAAGUGACCAUAUUAUACGCGACAAGGGAUUUUUUUUUCAAAUAUAAAUGAAAGUUUGAAUUUUCCUGUCUCCGUACAAUUACCCAACGGAAAUGUUACUCAUGUCAAAGUGAUAGGAACAGUGAAUCUCAGUCCUCAGAUUAUUCUCUAGAAUGUGCUAUAUGUCCCAGAAUUCCAAUUCAACCUCAUAUCUGUGUCUCAAGUCUGCAAAGAGAACUCAUGCCGGGUAAUAUUCAAUGCUGACACAUGUUUAUUUCAGGCCCUUUCGACUGGAAGACAGAUGGACUUGGGUAAUCUUUCUGAAGGACUCUAUUUCUGGACGAGUUUUCCAAGUAAUUUCAAUUUUCCAUGCAAUUCCUUGAAUAAAAAAUCAUUGUGUAAUUCAACUGCCAAUGAUAGAAAUUUGACUAUGCAUAUGAGAUUGGGUCACAGUGCUUCAUUUUCAUAUCAUGAAUGUCUUAUAUGUCCCCUUGCAAAGCAAUCUCGCACACCAUUUUCUUCUAGUACUUCACGGACUAGUCAAAUAUUUGCAUUACUUCACGUGGACAUUUGGGGACCUUAUCAUACAGUCAAUCAUGAUGGCUCCCGUUAUUUUCUUACGAUAGUAGAUGACUAUUCUCGGGCAACAUGGAUCUUCCUAAUACAAUAAAAAAAUUAGGUCUAUUCUCACCUGAAAAAUUUCAUUAUGCUAUCUAAGAACCAAUUCAGGAAAUCCAUUCAGCGGAUUCGCACAGAUAACGGGAGAGAAUUCUUCAGUCAUGAAUGCUCCCAGUUAUUCAAUUCUCAUGGUAUUCGACACGAAAGUUCCUGCAUUUACUCACCACAACAAAAUGGAGUGGUUGAAAGAAAGCAUCGCCAUCUACUGGAAGUGGCUCGUGCCUUGAAAUUUCAAGCAUCAAUUCCAGAAAGAUAUUGGGGUGACUGUGUCACCAUAGCAGCUUAUCUUAUUAAUAGAAUGCCUACUCGGAUUCUUAAUGGACAGAUGCCAUUCGAGCUGUUAUUUGGGAAGAAACCGGACUUGAAUCAUCUCAAGAUCUUCGGAUGUCUCUGCUAUGCUGCAAUCAUGGGGCCUCGAGAUAAAAUGAGCCCAUGUGCGCGGCGAUGCGUCUUUAUGGGAUAUCCCAAUCUCCAGAAGGGGUAUCGGGUGCUUGAGAUUUCCACAGGAGAAUUCAUAGUAAGUCAUGAUGUCAUUUUCCAUGAAACUACUUUUCCAUUUUAUGAAGGGGAAUCUUCACAUGGAGAUCCAAAGAUAACUUCCAGCCAUCAUAAUUUUCUCAAUGAUGAAGCACCAUACCGGGAUCUUUCCUAUGUACCAAUAGUACAGCCGAGGGAUCCUAUUCUUCCUACAGUCCCAGUUCUACAAGAUUCUAAUGGAAAUUCGAAUUCUUCAGAACAUAUUCAGGGAGAUAUCUUGGAGGAACCCAUUGCUGAUGCAGAAGUUGAUGACACUACAACAACUUCAUUACCAGCAACAUCACAGCCCACCACCGAAGCUGGACAUCCUAGGAGGUCUGAACGAGCUACAAGACCACCAACCCGGACGAAAGAUUAUGUCUGUACUACUCACAACUCUCCAAGUAUUCAGUAUCCAGUCUCUUCAUAUGUUUCCUUUGAUAGAUUGUCUCAAGAACAUAGAUGUUGUAUUAGUCGAUUGUUUGAAGAGAAAGAACCGUCCAGUUAUAAAGAAGCCUCCAAUAACCCAAAAUGGCAAGAGACCAUGAAGGCAGAAUUGAAGGCCCUUACUGAUAAUCAUACAUGGGAUCUUGUUCCAUUACCAGCUCAUCGUAAACCAAUUGGAUGCAAAUGGGUUUACAAAAUCAAGUAUCGGGCUGAUGGCUCCAUUGAACGGUACAAGGCAAGAUUGGUAGCUAAGGGGUUCACCCAAAGAGAAGGUUUUGACUACCACGAGACGUUCUCACCAGUUGCCAAAGAUGUUACAGUCCGUUCAUUCUUAGCUGUUGCUGCCAUCAAUGACUGGCACCUACACCAGAUGGAUGUCCAUAAUGCUUUUCUCCAUGGCAAUCUAGAUGAAGAGAUCUACAUGAAUAUUCCUCAAGGCAUACAGAGACAGGGGGAUAAUAAGGUGUGUCGUCUCCGUAAAUCCCUUUAUGGAUUAAAACAGGCAUCCGGACAAUGGUAUGCUAAAUUUGCCAGUGCUCUUACAACAGCAGGCUUCAAGCAAUCCAAGCAUGAUUAUGCUCUGUUCUAAAAAACUAAAGGUAUGUCAUCUAUCUAUUUGAUGAUUUAUGUCGAUGACAUACUUGUUAUGGGAAAUGAUAGAGCCUCUAUAGAGAAUUUCAAGGAAUAUUUGCAUGCUACCUUCCAUAUUAAAGACUUAGGAGCACCAAAAUAUUUCCUUGGAAUCGAAGUUGCUCGAUCUGACAAGGGAAUUUCCCUUAGUCAGCGGAAGUUCAUUCUAGAAAUCAUAUCAGAAGUAGGUCUAUUAGGAUGCAAGCUAGCUGUAAUUCCUAUAGAGCAAAACACUAAGUUGACCAUCGCAGACUAUGAUAAGGGAAUAUUUCGAAAUGAUGAUUCCUUACUCAGUGAUCCGUCAGGCUAUCAAAGACUUGUUGGGAAACUUAUAUACCUGACAAUGACUAGACCUGAUAUCUUAUAUGCGGUUCAGACACUUAGCCAGUUUAUGCAUCAACCAAAGCGUUCUCAUUUGGAUGCAGCCUUAAAGGUCGUUAAAUAUCUCAAGAAAUGUCCGGGGCUAGGGAUACUUCUCUCUAAGGAAUGUGACAUGAGGAUGACAGCAUAUUGUGAUGCAGACUAUGCAACAUGUCCGAUUAGUCGAAGAUCUGUUACUGGAUAUUGCAUUAAAUUGGGAGGAUCUCUUCUAUCUUGGAAAACCAAGAAACAAGCUACUGUGUCUCUGUCCUCAGCCGAAGCAGAAUAUCGAGCUGUGGCCAAGGCCACUUGUCAAGUAGUUUGGAUGCGAGGAUUACUCAAGGAUCUUGGAGUAGAAGUGCAAGGACCCACAAGGUUAUAUUGUGAUAAUGAUACAGCUCUUAAACUUGCAACUAAUCCUAUAGUACAUGAAAGAACCAAGCAUAUAGAAGUGGAUUGUCACUUCACACGGGAAAAGAUCCAGGAAGGAGUAAUUGAGACGAGGAAUUUGGACAACGGAGCAACCAGUAGACUUGUUCACCAAGCCCCUAUGUCAGAGGCAACAUGCAUAUCUAUUAAAAAAGCUAGGCGUCUUGGACAUCUACAAGCCACCAGCUUGAGGGGGAGUGUUGGAAGAUAUGUGGAUUGCCUGAUUUGAUUUGAUCUUAAUUGAUCAUGAUUAAUCACGAUCUUCAUGUAUAUGUAAAUUAAAAAUUAGAUCUAGAUCUAGAUUGAUAGUCUAGAUCAUUUACUUCCUUAUUCAAGAUAGAGCUUGUAUUAUAUCUCUGCAGAAUUGUACAUUCAGAUUGUAAUAGUGAUAAUACAGAAAAAUCUCCCCACAUCGAUUCCCAUUUUCCUCUCUAAACUUCAUCCGUUCUUCCUUCACUCUUGCCUUCUUUCAGGGCAUAUCUACUUUGCCGGCCCUCCCAAGCCCAACCCCGACACGAUCGAGCUUGUCCACCACGCCGUUGAAUCUGGCGUUGCCUUCCUCGACACCUCCGACAUCUAUGGCCUUAACGCCAAGGAAGUCCUCCUUGGAAAGGUCGGUAUUUAUUUUGUAGAUAUAAUUGAAGAUCUUGAUCGUGACGCCAAUCCUAAUUGCGGACUAAUUGAUUUGGUCAAUUUGUGAUUGUUUAGUGAAUAUGGAAAUUUUUGUAAUUCUUUAUAUAUUAUUUCAUUUUUUCUCUUUCAUUCUUACACUAUAAAUAGACCAAUGAACUAAUAUACAGAUCAAUCAAUAUACAACAAAAUUUUCUUCAUUUUCUCUUUUGUUUUCUAUUAUGUUAUCAGUGUCAUUCUUCCUCGCCUAGCUUCCCAUAUCUUAGAGUUGCCUUUCUUUUUUUCUUUGUUUUUUUUUUUUUUUUGGUUAUUGCAAGUCCUCAUCCUGCAAUACAAAUCAGCAAAUCGAUUAGGAAUUCAAUUUUUUUUUUCAAUACCAAGGCAAAAAAUAAGAACACUGAGAGCUCCAUGAUAGAGGAGACACCUACCUCACCUCAAAAUCAAGCCCCAUCGCCGUCGGAUUCGAUUAUGAUUUGGGACAAUAUAUUUUAAUCAUUUCGAGAUAAUCUUUAACUGAUCAUGCUCUUCCAGAUACACAGCAAUUGCGCACUUCCAAAUGCUUAUUAUGUCAAGUAACAUGACAAUCUGAUGGCAUGCAACGCAACCAAUUUUGCACUCGUUGAUGUAGAAUUUGGCGUUAAAAGGAAAAUGAUGGUUGCUCGUAUGCUCUCUGCUUAGACAUUGCUUUAUGUUAUGAAGUACCUACCAAGGCUGCGGCCAGAGAACUUGGCUAAUGCAAAGUUAUUCGACCAAGUGAAUGAAAUUGCACAAAGAAAGGGAUGCACCCCAUUGCAGUUAACCCUCGCCUGGGUACACCACUGGAGUGAUGACGUUUGCCCGAUUACCGGCACGAUCAAGAUCGAGAAUUUCAACCAGAACAUUGGAGCUCUGUCAGUGAAGCUUUCGCCAGAAGAGAUGGCCAAGCUCAAAUCGAUUGCUUAUACGGACAAUGUCAGGCGUGAGAAUUAAAACCACAUUUGAUACUAAAUUAUGCCUAGGUAGGAAUUCAAAACUCCACCUCCCGCUUUUCAUGUGGGAAGGUUGGCCCCACCUCGCGCUUAUGGAAAGAGUAAUCACGAAGACAUCACAAUAGUUCAAUUGACGUGAGCAGGUACGUCUUCCCUACAUGGUAAGGGUCGUCACUGGGCGUGCAAUUGACGUAAGCACGUGCGUCUUCACAGCCACUACCGCUCCCCUCCUACUCAUCGUAGCUUCUGCCACUACCCUCCUAUAAAUCUCGGCUCGCCCGACGACUUCGCCAUCGUCUCGGUGCAGUGCAGGGAACGAUCGAGCUCGAGCUAGACUACGGCAAUGGCGGCAUCGACGACGACGGUGAGGAGGAUCAAGCUGGGGUCGCAGGGCCUGGAGGUGUCGGCGCAGGGGCUGGGCUGCAUGAGCAUGUCCGCCUUCUACGGCCCUCCCAAGUCCGAGCCCGACAUGAUCGCCCUCAUCCACCACGCCGUCGGCUCCGGCGUCACCUUCCUCGACACCUCCGACUUCUACGGUCCUCACACCAACGAAAUCCUCCUCGGAAAGGUCGUUCUCUCAGUCUCUCUUUUGCCUCUGCAUGAAUUAUAUAUGCUUAUGGUUUUACGGAACUUAGCUUCAUCGAGCAGGAUGCUCUGAUCCUGCGCCUUGGUUUUCUGAUUUCGGGGUUGAUUUUGAGCAGGCACUGAAGGGAGGGGUGAGGCAGAAGGUGGAAUUGGCGACCAAGUUCGGAAUCAGAUUGGCGGACGGGAAGAGGGAGAUCCAGGGCGAUCCGGCGUACGUGAGGGCUGCUUGCGAGGCCAGCUUGAAGCGGCUCGACAUCGAUUGCAUCGACCUCUACUACCAGCACCGUAUCGACACUCGCGUCCCCAUUGAAGUCACUGUAUGGAUCCCUUAUCAAACUUUCACCUCGCUUGAGACUUUCUCUGAGCCAUACGAUGCAUCGUCAUGUUGUUACAAGUUUGUUGAAUUUUGUUAAAUGACACUUAAGUUCAGCUGAUAGCAGAGUUCAAGAUGCGGCACGGUGUUGUUCAAGGGUUGUGGAAUUUAGUAGUUUAGUGGCUUGAGUUUUCGUUUUGUGGGAAUCUUUUACAAGUUAAGGGUCAACAAGCAUGGAAAUUAUUCGAAAUCUUCCUUUGAGAUGAAAGUGCUCCGGGGUUCAUCCUGAAUUUAUAUACGGGAAUCACAUAUAAAGUUGUUCCUGGACUUUAUACGGAGACAUUUGAUUCUUGACAUAUUGUGAAAUAUGACAAGUACUUGGAAUACUUCUUUUAUUUGCUCUCUUCUGUGAGAGAUUCAAGAAAUCUACCUCCGUUAACUCAAUUCCUUGUGGGUUUUUUGUCGCAUUGAGAUGCAUGAUAAUUGAGGGAUCUAGACACAAAAAGCUAAUGACAAAAAUAAUUUUCUGGAUCUUAACAUGUAAGAUCUUGAUGUUGUUGUUCUGUCAUGUGAAUAUGCACAGAUCGGAGAGCUAAAGAAGCUCGUUGAAGAGGGUAAGAUAAAGUACAUCGGUUUAUCCGAGGCCUCUGCAUCAACAAUCAGAAGAGCACAUGCUGUUCAUCCCAUCACAGCAGUGCAAUUGGAGUGGUCGCUUUGGUCCAGAGAUGUGGAGGCGGACAUCGUUCCAACGUGCAGGUAGGAUAUCACUCCGUUAAUUGUUUAUGCAGCAACAACAGCUUCCUUCUGACUCUGCUUUUCCUUUAAAAUGUUGACUAGGGAGCUUGGCAUUGGAAUUGUUGCCUACAGUCCUUUAGGACGAGGAUUCUUUUCUGUUGGCUCCAAGUUGGCGGAGAAUUUCUCAAAGGAUGACUUCAGACAGGUCUGUUUCUGCUGGUCGACAUAAUUAGAUGCUCACAGUGACUGUCAUUCUCAUUGAAGUGCUGGAAACCUGUUCUUGUGGUAUAAAGAAAAGUUUCUGGAUGGGAUGAAUAAAACUUGGUGACACAAAUGCAUCACGUUCUUAUAUGUCUUCAAUCCAGCACUCGCCAGACAUACUACCUCUCUCGAUUCUAGAUAAAUGUAAAAUCACAAGUAAUGGCUUUAGUGAGCCUGAAAGAGGUAGGUUCCCGGAUUCUCAUUCUUUUGGGAAUGAAUACAUAUAGGUUUAUAUGUAAGUUGCUCUGUUUCCCAGCCUUCCCAACAUUUGCUUAUCACUAUCCUUUCCCCACUUUCCACCCACCCUUUUUCUCUCAUCUUUCUUCACAAGAUUAGCGAUAUUUCCUCGAAAUAACUGACGCCAGUAUCGGGCUCUGGCCUUCCGUCCUUUUUCAUUCUCAUCUUUCUUCACAAGAUAAACUAUAUCUUGACACAACCAUUUCUUGAGUGAGGACUCACGACACCCUUCUUAUGAGAGUUUUGGAUCAAGUUCCCAUCUGACAUAAAGCCAAUUGUGUAUUACUCCCUGCCAUUAGCGUUUGACUAGCGAUAGCGCUGGGCAAGUGAAGUAGCUAUUUUUCUUUGUAGCUAAAAGAGCUCUGCGUCUGAUAACAUUCUUCUACACAUCAUCUACAUUUCUGAUUUUUUAUUUUAUGUGUGACUAAUGGUAUCAUCACACGUACAAAACUUAGAUUGUCGAGUUUGUUUCUGUUUUCACAUCCUACAUCAAGCCCAUCAGCCUUGUGUGGUAGUUGCUAGAUCACUUCGCUUGACGUUUCUAAUGCUUAUGAUUUGGGACAUGAUAUUUUAAUCAUUUCAAGAUUAUUUAUAACUGAUCAUGCUUAUCCAGAUAGACAACGAUUGCACACUUCUAAAUGCUUAUUAUGUCAAGUAACAAGACAAUCUGAUGGCAUGCAAUGCAACCACUUUUGCACUUGUUGCUGUAGAAUUUAGCCUUAAAAGGAAAAUGAUAAUUGCAAUUGCUUUCUGCUGAGACAUUGCUCUAUGUUAUGCAGUAUCAUCCAAGGUUCCAGCCAGAGAACUUGGCUCACAACACGAAGUUAUUUGACCGAGUGAAUGAAAUUGCGCAAAGAAAGGGAUGCACCCCAUCUCAGUUAGCCCUGGCCUGGGUACACCACCAUGGUGACGACAUUUGCCCGAUUCCCGGCACAACCAAGAUCGAGAAUUUCAACCAGAACAUUGGAGCUCUGUCAGUGAAGCUUACACAGGAAGAGAUGGCCGAGCUUGAAUUGAUUGCUUCUGCGGACAAUGUCAAGGGUGGCAGGUAUGAUGGAAGCAUAUCUACAUGGGAAAACUCCGACACUCCACCCCUUUCUUCUUGGAAACCUGCCUAGAAGCGUGUCUGCUUCUGUUGCUGCAUCUUUGAUGUGCAGAGUUUGAGCAUUUGCCGCUGAAGUAAUUUGAGUUGAUGUUGUGUGGCUGUUAUAAGUAUGUGUAAUAAGAGAGUGACUGUUUUCAUUUUGUACAUGUGACAUUCACUAUGAGAAGAUUAUGGAUGUGUACUAAC